This 597-nucleotide ribosomal RNA is filed under the name uncultured bacterium. Its description in RNAcentral is "bacterial SSU rRNA". It matches the Rfam family "Bacterial small subunit ribosomal RNA", at positions 344 to 977 of the family's 1533-position model. The record is from RNAcentral.
GAAGGCAGCAGUGGGAAUCUUGCGCAAUGGGCGAAAGCCUGACGCAGCCAUGCCGCGUGAAUGAUGAAGGUCUUAGGAUUGUAAAGUUCUUUCGCCUGUGACGAUGAUGACGGUAACAGGAGAAGAAGCCCCGGCUAACUUCGUGCCAGCAGCCGCGGUAAUACGAAGGGGGCUAGCGUUGUUCGGAAUUACUGGGCGUAAAGCGCGCGUAGGCGGCUUUGCAAGCCAGAGGUGAAAUGCCUGAGCUCAACUUAGGAAUUGCCUUCGGGACUGCGAGGCUUCGAGGACUGGAGAGGUGAGUGGAAUUCCCAGUGUAGAGGUGAAAUUCGUAGAUAUUGGGAAGAACACCAGUGGCGAAGGCGGCUCACUGGCCAGUUUCUGACGCUAAAGUGCGAAAGCGUGGGGAUCAAACAGGAUUAGAUACCCUGGUAGUCCACGCUGUAAACGAUGAGUGCUAGGCGUCGGCACGCUUGCGUGUCGGUGCCGCAGCUAACGCGUGAAGCACUCCGCUGGGAGUACGUCGCAAGAUUAAACUAAGGAAUGACGGGGCCGCAGCGUGAGCUGUGGUUAUUCGACGCACGCGCAGACUUACAGCUU